CGGCUCAUCACAUCCUGGAGCUGUAGCAGGUUCCAAGGGUUCGGCUGUUCGCCGAUUAAAGUGGUACGUGAGCUGGGUUUAGAACGUCGUGAGACAGUUCGGUCUCUAUCCGCCGUGGGCGCAGGAGAAUUGAGGGAAUCUGCUUCUAGUACGAGAGGACCGAAGUGGACGAACCGCUGGUGCACCAGUUGUUUCAUCAGAAGCAUCGCUGGGUAGCUACGUUCGGAAAGGAUAAGCGCUGAAAGCAUAUAAGUGCGAAACCUGUCCCAAGAUUAGUUCUCCCUAUCUUUAUGAUAAUAAGGCUCGUUGUAGACUACAACGUUGAUAGGCCACAAGUGUAAGUACAGUAAUGUAUUCAGCUGAGUGGUACUAAUUGGCCGAAAGGCUUUAUCAA
RNAcentral lists this ribosomal RNA (394 nucleotides) under Fidelibacterota bacterium. RNAcentral describes it as "bacterial LSU rRNA". It matches the Rfam family "Bacterial large subunit ribosomal RNA", at positions 2533 to 2925 of the family's 2925-position model. The record is from RNAcentral. Lineage: Bacteria; Pseudomonadati; Fidelibacterota.